UGAAUAUUGUGGAAGCUGGCAAGAGGUUCUUCCUGUACACUGGCCGUUGCCCUUCCUCCGAUGCCAUGCAUAGGCCACCUCGUUCCCUUCAUUAUGACCAGAUGGCUGCAGGGUGUGUUCGACGUCCCCCUGGCGGUGCAGCUGACUGCGAUGAGAAGUACCCGUAGAAGGACUUGGCGCUGGAGGAGUGCACCGAGUGAGCCUACGAGGACGCCAAGGACAUCGUAGCAAGGGCUUUGCCAUGAACAGGACUUGCAUCUUAUCUGACAUGGACUUCACCGAAGGGUCGGAGAGUCCUGCGGGAAUGUCCUAAAAGUGCAAAAACGUGUGACCUUCGACCAUGUCGAGCGAAUCUUCGGCUUCGACGAGUCCUCCAACAGCGGCAGGAUCUUGUUCCCUGCCAUCUAGGCCGUACCAAGCUUCUCGUCCAGGUUUCCGUUCACUUUCAAGAAGGACGGACCCUGUGUGAUCACCUGUGCUGUUGACAGGUAGAUAGAAACUGGUCAUGUCUGAAAACAGUUUGAUGUUUUCCUUUAGUUGUCCACCUGACUAAUAGCACAGGUGCCUCAGGGCCAUCCUCUCUUCUGCCCCCUCAACCAAAACAUUUAUUUACCCAUAAUGCAUCUGCAAAACAUAAGAGUAUCGGGAUCCAAAUGAACAGGUAAACCUCAGCAACCCACACAUUGCUUAUGCAGGAUAUUACAAAUCAAAAUACAAUUCUUAAUUGAAAUAGUGUUACACAAUUAUAUCAAACAAUAUUAGUAAUAUUUCUCUUUUCUUUAUA
Non-coding RNA from Penaeus vannamei (Pacific white shrimp), 784 nucleotides. Lineage: Eukaryota; Metazoa; Arthropoda; Malacostraca; Decapoda; Penaeidae. The record is from RefSeq and is a predicted model, not a curated record.